Molecule: long non-coding RNA, 595 nt
Organism: Mauremys reevesii (Reeves's turtle)
Lineage: Eukaryota; Metazoa; Chordata; Testudines; Geoemydidae
Exons: 3
Source: RefSeq, a predicted model, not a curated record
CAUCACUAGAAAUACACAAAUUUGAUGAUUCUCUGUUCUGAGCCAAAGCUGUUAUGAUCUUUUAACAGUAAAACCCCUUGAUGAUCACUUCCAGAUCCCUUGUUGGAGGCGAGGUGAUCUCUGAAUUUGUCAUCAAGUUGGAGAAGACUAUUUUGGGUCACACAAGUCUACUUCAUGUCCUUCCUCCGAAUCAGCCCUAGAUAAGAUUUGAAUCCACAUCUACCUCCUAGCAUGGAGAUAUAUUGCCAAUAUGGAGAGGCAGUACCAGAGGCUAAAGCAGCUGCAGAAACAGAGGGCUUUUGCAGAUAUGACUCUGGUAUCUCACAGAUACUCCAGGAUCUGCAUGGAUUCCGGGCUGGCCUCUUUAUCUAAUCUACAUGAGUUGCAACCAGCAGUCUUCCCAUGCCACCAGUGAAUUAUCAGAAUUCUGAAGGGACUGUUGCAGAGAUUUCCUUCAUCAGAGCAACCUUGUGUGAGUUUUUCUAUGGGAGGGCUGUCCAGUCCAUUGAGUCUCUGGGGCAAAUAUUGAGAUACGAGCAAGUUUUCAAGUGGUGAAAAAUAUUUUUAUUAAAUGUCACUAUCUUUGACUUUCCUU